RNAcentral lists this transfer RNA (124 nucleotides) under Halorientalis persicus. RNAcentral describes it as "tRNA_Pseudo_Pseudo". It matches the Rfam family "tRNA". From Rfam's summary of the family: Transfer RNA (tRNA) molecules are approximately 80 nucleotides in length. Lineage: Archaea; Methanobacteriati; Methanobacteriota; Halobacteria; Halobacteriales; Haloarculaceae. The record is from RNAcentral.
AGUCCCGUGGUGUAGUGGCCAAUCAUCUAGGCCUUUGGAGGAGUACACCCUGUACACGCUUGGAAACCCCAGCUGUGUAUUCCGAGGAUAGCCUAGGACGGCGGUUCGAAUCCGCCCGGGACUA